Molecule: small nuclear RNA, 99 nt
Organism: Vulpes vulpes (red fox)
Lineage: Eukaryota; Metazoa; Chordata; Mammalia; Carnivora; Canidae
Source: Ensembl
AAAAAUUAUUUAAGUGCUAAAAUCCUAACAGUCCAGACAAGAUUAGCUUGGCCCCUACAUGAGGAUGACACAAAAAUUCAUGAAGGGUUCCAUAGUUUU